GAAUGGUGAUAUCACACUGCCCAUCUCUCUCCCUGUGGGCAAAGACAAGGGAAGUACAGGAUUUAAAGUUGUAGUCCAGGACUUGAGGCCGAGGCUGUGGACCCUCGGACACAAACAAAGCUAAUACCAGUUUUUCUCCAGGACUUUCCUUUUUACUAAGAAAUGAGUGAGCAGUCAGUGAGCUUUGUGGACCUCAGAUUUCAUACUCCUGCAGAGCAGAAGAGAAAACGAAGACCAAAGCAUGCCAGGGUCACAGAAUUUCCUCCAUCUUCACCAUGGCUCCUUACAGUGAUUCUGGGGCUCCUCUGUCUGGCUUUGCUAGUAACGGCAAGGGUUUGGGUUGCCAUGGGUAAGUAUUUGCCAAGACAGCAACAAAACAGGAUCUGAACCAUUAUAACUUUUAGAAGGGCUUGGUAUGCGGUGUGUAAAUGCAUGUGUGAGACACUGUCAUAGUUUGCAUUACUUUGUGAAAAACAACUUUCAGUUGGUAUUCAGAGCCUGUUGCCUGCCGAGUGUGAUUUGAAUAUUACCUGUAAAACAUGUGAGAAGCUGAGAUACUUUUAAGGUUGUGUCUACACAACAUUUUGGAGCAAGAAGGAGCAAGCCUUCAAGCCCAGGUCAACAGACUCAGGCUAGUGGGGCUUCCACUAAUGCUCUACAAAUCGCUGUACAGACAGAACUUUGAAGUUACGUUCUGCGGUGCAGCUCCAGCUCUGAAGCCUAGGGAGAGGGGUGGUCCUAAGGGUCCUUCUGAGUGAACACUUGAGUUGAUUUGAGACUUAAACUAUCUACAGUUUAAAUGUGGUUAGAAAUGGCAUCAUGACUAGGACUGGGUGAAUUUUUGUCAGUGAAUAUUUUAUUAGCCAAAAAAUGCA
Trachemys scripta elegans is the source of this 875-nucleotide long non-coding RNA. RefSeq lists it as uncharacterized. NCBI's taxonomy places the organism in Eukaryota, Metazoa, Chordata, Testudines, Emydidae. The transcript is spliced from 3 exons. The record is from RefSeq and is a predicted model, not a curated record.